CCUACGGGGCGCAGCAGUGGGGAAUAUUGCACAAUGGGGGAAACCCUGAUGCAGCGACGCCGCGUGAGUGAAGAAGUAUCUCGGUACGCAAAGCUCUAUCAGCAGGGAAGAAAAAAAGUCUUUGGCUUUGGACGGUACCUGACUAAGAAGCCCCGGCUAACUACGUGCCAGCAGCCGCGGUAAUACGUAGGGGGCAAGCGUUAUCCGGAUUUACUGGGUGUAAAGGGAGCGUAGACGGUGAUGCAAGUCAGAAGUGAAAGCCCGCGGCUCAACUGCGGGACUGCUUUUGAAACUGUAUGACUGGG
RNAcentral lists this ribosomal RNA (305 nucleotides) under uncultured bacterium. Its description in RNAcentral is "bacterial SSU rRNA". It matches the Rfam family "Bacterial small subunit ribosomal RNA", at positions 338 to 645 of the family's 1533-position model. The record is from RNAcentral.